GCGGAUGUGGCGGAAUUGGUAGACGCGCUAGUUUCAGGUACUAGUACUAGCAAUAGUGUGGGAGUUCAAGUCUCCCCAUCCGCAUCA
RNAcentral lists this transfer RNA (87 nucleotides) under Prochlorococcus marinus str. MIT 9303. RNAcentral's name for it is "tRNA-Leu". It matches the Rfam family "tRNA". From Rfam's summary of the family: Transfer RNA (tRNA) molecules are approximately 80 nucleotides in length. Lineage: Bacteria; Bacillati; Cyanobacteriota; Cyanophyceae; Synechococcales; Prochlorococcaceae. The record is from RNAcentral.